GAAAUGCGAUACUUGGUGUGAAUUGCAGAAUCCCGUGAACCAUCGAGUAUUUGAACGCAAGUUGCGCCCGAGGCCUUCUGGUCGAGGGCACGUCUGCCUGGGCGUCACGCACAGCGUCGCCCCCAACCACACAUGCUGUGGAAGGGGAGCGGAGAUUGGCCCCCCGAGCCCCACCGGGCACGGUCGGCACAAAUGCCUGUCCCUGGCAGCGGUCGCCGCGGUCAAGUGGUGGCUUCAAAUACCAUUUCGGUGACUGGUUGGCGCCGCGGCCCUAGUUGGGACAGAAUCGACCCGCAGAGGCCGUUUCGACGGCGUUCUUCAUCGAUGCUCAGGAACACCAAC
This 342-nucleotide unclassified non-coding RNA is filed under the name uncultured fungus. Its description in RNAcentral is "sequence contains ITS1". The stretch from base 1 to 107 matches the Rfam family "5.8S ribosomal RNA", at positions 50 to 154 of the family's 154-position model. The record is from RNAcentral. Lineage: Eukaryota; Fungi.